UAAGUAAAAGCGGCGGCAACUAUAAAUUCAAAGAAGGAAAAUAUUUCUUGGGAGAAGAUUUAUUGAUCAGAUUAGGAAAUUCAAGGGGUUUUAUAUUUAGAGACUUAAAGAAGAUUUUCCCUAUAGAAGAAGAAUAUAAUUUUAUUGUUGGAUUGGGUAUUCUAGAAUUUAAUUCUUUUUCUGCUUACGAUGAAAAGGCUUACUACCAAUUUGUGCAUAGCUCAUUUUAUGAAUUUAUUCGUGCCCUUAAUGGUUAUUAUGGUGAUUAUGUGUCUGAUAUUGGUGAUAUACAUAUUAAUGAGAACAUUAUAUUAUUUAUGAUGGGGCUUUCCGGAGAAGAACCAUUUCCGGAAAUGGUACAAAAUUCCUUUAAGAUGCGAUAUAUGAAACUUUGCCCUACAUAUUUAUAUAAACCUUGUUUCAUGCUUCGAGUUUACAGAGAAAUAAAAGUCAAAACCAACUGGGAGUUGUUUUGUUCUCUUUCUCACCUGGUGUUUUCAUAUAGAGACCUAGAUGAUGCUAAAGCAUUGUUAUCUCUGUAUAAUUUUACUCGAAUGCAGUUUAUUUUUCCAGAAAAUAAGUGUACUUACGAGAUAUUUAGAAACAACUUGAUU
This 614-nucleotide long non-coding RNA is filed under the name Androctonus crassicauda. The record is from RNAcentral. Lineage: Eukaryota; Metazoa; Arthropoda; Arachnida; Scorpiones; Buthidae.